GAUGAACGCUGGCGGCGUGCCUAAUACAUGCAAGUCGAGCGAACAGACGAGGAGCUUGCUCCUCUGACGUUAGCGGCGGACGGGUGAGUAACACGUGGAUAACCUACCUAUAAGACUGGGAUAACUUCGGGAAACCGGAGCUAAUACCGGAUAAUAUAUUGAACCGCAUGGUUCAAUAGUGAAAGACGGUUUUGCUGUCACUUAUAGAUGGAUCCGCGCCGCAUUGGCUAGUUGGUAAGGUAACGGCUUACCAAGGCAACGAUGCGUAGCCGACCUGAGAGGGUGAUCGGCCACACUGGAACUGAGACACGGUCCAGACUCCUACGGGAGGCAGCAGUAGGGAAUCGUCCGCAAUGGGCGAAAGCCUGACGGAGCAACGCCGCGUGAGUGAUGAAGGUCUUCGGAUCGUAAAACUCUGUUAUUAGGGAAGAACAAAUGUGUAAGUAACUAUGCACGUCUUGACGGUACCUAAUCAGAAAGCCACGGCUAACUACGUG
This 497-nucleotide ribosomal RNA is filed under the name uncultured bacterium. Its description in RNAcentral is "partial 16S ribosomal RNA". It matches the Rfam family "Bacterial small subunit ribosomal RNA", at positions 28 to 507 of the family's 1533-position model. The record is from RNAcentral.